AGUCAAGUAAUUAAGUGCAUGUGGUGGAUGCCUUGGCAGUCAGAGGCGAUGAAAGACGUGAUAGCCUGCGAAAAGCUCCGGGGAGGCGGCAAAUAUCCUUUGAUCCGGAGAUGUCUGAAUGGGGGAACCCACCUACUUUAAGGUAGGUAUUGCAACAUGAAUACAUAGUGUUGCAAGGCGAACGAGGGGAAGUGAAACAUCUCAGUACCCUUAGGAAAAGAAAUCAAUUGAGAUUCCCUCAGUAGCGGCGAGCGAACGGGGAUCAGCCCAUUAAGUUAUGUGUGUUUUAGUGGAACGCUCUGGGAAGUGCGAACGUAGAGGGUGAUAUUCCCGUACACGAAAGGGCACACAUAAUGAUGACGAGUAGGGCGAGGCACGUGAAACCUUGUCUGAAUAUGGGGGGACCAUCCUCCAAGGCUAAAUACUCCUGACUGACCGAUAGUGAACCAGUACCGUGAGGGAAAGGCGAAAAGAACCCCUGUGAGGGGAGUGAAAUAGAUCCUGAAACCGCAUGCAUACAAGCAGUGGGAGCACCUUCGUGGUGUGACUGCGUACCUUUUGUAUAAUGGGUCAGCGACUUAUAUUCAGUAGCGAGGUUAACCGUAUAGGGGAGCCGUAGAGAAAUCGAGUCUUAAUAGGGCGUUUAGUUGCUGGGUAUAGACCCGAAACCAGGCGAUCUAUCCAUGAGCAGGUUGAAGGUUGGGUAACACUAACUGGAGGACCGAACCCACUGUCGUUGAAAAGCCAGGGGAUGACUUGUGGAUAGGGGUGAAAGGCUAAUCAAGCCUGGUGAUAGCUGGUUCUCCCCGAAAGCUAUUUAGGUAGCGCCUCGGACGAAUACCAUAGGGGGUAGAGCACUGUUUCGGCUAGGGGGUCAUCCCGACUUACCAAACCGAUGCAAACUCCGAAUACCUAUGAGUACUAUCCGGGAGACAGACUGCGGGUGCUAACGUCCGUAGUCAAGAGGAAAACAAUCCAGACCGCCAGCUAAGGCCCCAAAAUCAUAGUUAAGUGGGAAACGAUGUGGGAAGGCAUAGACAGCUAGGAGGUUGGCUUAGAAGCAGCCACCCUUUAAAGAAAGCGUAAUAGCUCACUAGUCGAGUCGGCCUGCGCGGAAGAUGUAACGGGGCUAAAACUAUGUGCCGAAGCUGCGGAUGUAUACUUUGUAUACGUGGUAGGGGAGCGUUCUGUAAGCCGAUGAAGGUGUGUUGAGAAGCAUGCUGGAGGUAUCAGAAGUGCGAAUGCUGACGUGAGUAACGACAAAACGGGUGAAAAACCCGUUCGCCGAAAGACCAAGGGUUCCAGUCCAACGUUAAUCGGGGCUGGGUGAGUCGACCCCUAAGGCGAGGCCGAAAGGCGUAGUCGAUGGGAAAAUGGUUAAUAUUCCAUUACUUCUGUGUAAUGCGAUGAGAGGACGGAGAAGGCUAAAUCAGCCUGGCGUUGGUUGUCCAGGUGAAAGGAUGUAGGCAUGUAUCUUAGGCAAAUCCGGGGUACUCUAUGCUGAGAUCUGAUAGCAAGCUGUACUUGUACAGCGAAGUGGUUGAUGCCAUGCUUCCAGGAAAAGUCUCUAAGCUUCAGUUACACAGGAAUCGUACCCGAAACCGACACAGGUGGUCAGGUCGAGUAGACCAAGGCGCUUGAGAGAACUCUGCUGAAGGAACUAGGCAAAAUGGUACCGUAACUUCGGGAGAAGGUACGCUGUUGUUGGUGAUGGAACUCGCUUCCUGAGCUGACGACAGCCGCAGAAACCAGGCCGCUGCAACUGUUUAUUAAAAACAUAGCACUCUGCAAACACGAAAGUGGACGUAUAGGGUGUGAUGCCUGCCCGGUGCUGGAAGGUUAAUUGAUGGGGUUAGCGUAAGCGAAGCUCUUGAUCGAAGCCCCAGUAAACGGCGGCCGUAACUAUAACGGUCCUAAGGUAGCGAAAUUCCUUGUCGGGUAAGUUCCGACCUGCACGAAUGGCAUAAUGAUGGCGGCGCUGUCUCCAGCAGAGGCUCAGUGAAAUCGAAAUCGCUGUGAAGAUGCAGUGUACCCGCGGCUAGACGGAAAGACCCCGUGAACCUUUACUGCAGCUUGACACUGAACUUUGACCUUACUUGUGUAGGAUAGGUGGGAGGCUUUGAAGCUGGAACGCUAGUUCCAGUGGAGCCGUCCUUGAAAUACCACCCUGGUAAUGUUGAGGUUCUAACUCUGUCCCGUGAUCCGGGACGAGGACCGUGUCUGGUGGGUAGUUUGACUGGGGCGGUCUCCUCCUAAAGAGUAACGGAGGAGUACGAAGGUGCGCUCAGCGUGGUCGGAAAUCACGCGUAGAGUAUAAAGGCAAAAGCGCGCUUAACUGCGAGACCCACAAGUCGAGCAGGUACGAAAGUAGGUCUUAGUGAUCCGGUGGUUCUGUAUGGAAGGGCCAUCGCUCAACGGAUAAAAGGUACUCUGGGGAUAACAGGCUGAUACCGCCCAAGAGUUCAUAUCGACGGCGGUGUUUGGCACCUCGAUGUCGGCUCAUCUCAUCCUGGGGCUGAAGCAGGUCCCAAGGGUAUGGCUGUUCGCCAUUUAAAGAGGUACNCGAGCUGGGUUUAGAACGUCGUGAGACAGUUCGGUCCCUAUCUACCGUGGGCGCUGGAAAUUUGAGAGGAUCUGCUCCUAGUACGAGAGGACCAGAGUGGACGAACCUCUGGUGUACCGGUUGUGACGCCAGUCGCAUCGCCGGGUAGCUAUGUUCGGAAGGGAUAACCGCUGAAAGCAUCUAAGCGGGAAGCCUACCUCAAGAUAAGAUUUCCCUAGGACUUUAUGUCCUCUAAAGAGCCGUUCGAGACUAGGACGUUGAUAGGUUGGAUGUGGAAGCAUAGUGAUAUGUGAAGCUGACCAAUACUAAUUGCUCGUGAGGCUUGACUAUACAACACCCA
Molecule: ribosomal RNA, 2903 nt
Filed under: Acinetobacter baumannii ATCC 17978
Lineage: Bacteria; Pseudomonadati; Pseudomonadota; Gammaproteobacteria; Moraxellales; Moraxellaceae
Description: bacterial LSU rRNA
Rfam family: Bacterial large subunit ribosomal RNA
Source: RNAcentral